RNAcentral lists this ribosomal RNA (602 nucleotides) under Lasiodiplodia theobromae. RNAcentral's name for it is "eukaryotic LSU rRNA". The stretch from base 187 to 340 matches the Rfam family "5.8S ribosomal RNA". The record is from RNAcentral. Lineage: Eukaryota; Fungi; Ascomycota; Dothideomycetes; Botryosphaeriales; Botryosphaeriaceae.
AAAUCGGUAAUGACCCUAGUAGGUGAACCUGCGCAAGGAUCAUUUACCGAGUUUGUUCGAGCUCCGGCUCGCACUCUCCCACCCUUUGUGAACGUACCUCUGUUGCUUUGGCGGCUCCGGCCGCCAAAGGACCUUCAAACUCCAGUCAGUAAACGCAGACGUCUGAUAAACAAGUUAAUAAACUAAAACUUUCAACAACGGAUCUCUUGGUUCUGGCAUCGAUGAAGAACGCAGCGAAAUGCGAUAAGUAAUGUGAAUUGCAGAAUUCAGUGAAUCAUCGAAUCUUUGAACGCACAUUGCGCCCCUUGGUAUUCCGGGGGGCAUGCCUGUUCGAGCGUCAUUACAACCCUCAAGCUCUGCUUGGAAUUGGGCACCGUCCUCACUGCGGACGCGCCUCAAAGACCUCGGCGGUGGCUGUUCAGCCCUCAAGCGUAGUAAAAUACACCUCGCUUUGGAGCGGUUGGCGUCGCCCGCCGGACGAACCUUCUGAACUUUUCUCAAGGUUGACCUCGGAUCAGGUAGGGAUACCCGCUGAACUUAAGCAUAUCAAUAACCGGAGGAAACGAACGAACGAAGGUACAUAAACUUAUGACCCUAUCCUC